Molecule: non-coding RNA, 21 nt
Filed under: Caenorhabditis elegans
Lineage: Eukaryota; Metazoa; Nematoda; Chromadorea; Rhabditida; Rhabditidae
Source: RNAcentral
UAACUUUUUACCAUAGAUGUU